GGGCAGGUGGCGGAAUUGGUAGACGCGCUGGGUUUAGAACCCAGUGCUGACAAGGCGUGAGGGUUCGAAUCCCUCCCUGCCCA
Molecule: transfer RNA, 83 nt
Filed under: Candidatus Parcubacteria bacterium
Lineage: Bacteria; Candidatus Parcubacteria
Also listed under: 1 other name
Description: tRNA-Leu
Rfam family: tRNA
About the family: Transfer RNA (tRNA) molecules are approximately 80 nucleotides in length.
Source: RNAcentral